CGGAUUGUAGUCUGCAACCCGACUACAUGAAGCUGGAAUCGCUAGUAAUCGCGAAUCAGCAUGUCGCGGUGAAUACGUUCCCGGGUCUUGUACACACCGCCCGUCACACCAUGGGAGUUGGUAACGCCCGAAGUCAGUGACCUAACCGCAAGGGAGGAGCUGCCGAAGGUGGGGCCAGUAACUGGGGUGAAGUCGUAACAAGGUAAC
Molecule: ribosomal RNA, 207 nt
Filed under: uncultured bacterium
Lineage: Bacteria
Description: partial 16S ribosomal RNA
Rfam family: Bacterial small subunit ribosomal RNA
Source: RNAcentral